ACUGUGGUAGCCUAGUGGUUAGAGCGACCGCCUCAGAGGCGGGAGGUCGUGGGUUCGAACACACACACACACACA
Non-coding RNA from Potamilus streckersoni, 75 nucleotides. The record is from the annotation of a GenBank genome assembly. Lineage: Eukaryota; Metazoa; Mollusca; Bivalvia; Unionida; Unionidae.